Molecule: ribosomal RNA, 497 nt
Filed under: uncultured bacterium
Lineage: Bacteria
Description: partial 16S ribosomal RNA
Rfam family: Bacterial small subunit ribosomal RNA
Source: RNAcentral
GAUGAACGCUGGCGGCGUGCCUAAUACAUGCAAGUCGAGCGAACAGACGAGGAGCUUGCUCCUCUGACGUUAGCGGCGGACGGGUGAGUAACACGUGGAUAACCUACCUAUAAGACUGGGAUAACUUCGGGAAACCGGAGCUAAUACCGGAUAAUAUAUUGAACCGCAUGGUUCAAUAGUGAAAGACGGUUUUGCUGGCACUUAUAGAGGGAUCUGCGCCGCAUUGGCUAGUUGGUAAGGUAACGGCUUACCAAGGCAACGAUGCGUAGCCGACCUGAUAGGGUGGUCGGCCGCCCUGGAACUGGAACACCGACCUGACUCCUACGGGACGGAGCAGUAGGGAACCUUCCGCAAUGGGCGAGAGCUUGACGGAGCAACGGCGCGUGAGUGAUGAAGGUCUUCGGAUCGUAAAACUCUGUUAUUAGGGAAGAACCAAUGUGUAAGUAACUAUGCACGUCUUGACGGUAACUAAUCAGAAAGCAACGGCUAACUACGUG